Rattus norvegicus (Norway rat) is the source of this 16767-nucleotide non-coding RNA. The record is from RefSeq and is a predicted model, not a curated record. NCBI's taxonomy places the organism in Eukaryota, Metazoa, Chordata, Mammalia, Rodentia, Muridae.
CCUGGUCAGGCAUGGGGCCCAGGUCCCCAUAGAAGAGCCGGCAGCCCUGGGGGUUGCUCACCGUCAUGGUUUGCCCAUACUCCUUCCCACGAUACUGAAACUUGAUGUCCAAGUCAGUCACUACAAGGUGGCCUCGAACAUGAAGAAACAGCAGUAGUUUCAAAUAAGAAGCCAGAACACUGGAAAUAGGCUACAGCUUUUCAAGGAACAAAACAGAAUGAGUGAGCCAAGAGUCCGGGGAAGAGCCAACGUUUCCAACUCUUUUAACUGGUUUGCUUGUCUUAAUCUUUUUUUUUUUUUAAUGUUGGUUUGUUUUGUUUGAGAUAGGCUCUCCGUGGACCAGGCCAACUUCAAGUUUGUAGUGAUCGCCUGUCCUUACCACCAGAUACAUUGGUUAUCACACUCACCUCAGAUAAAUGUCCAAUUUAAAAUUUCACUGAGAGAGCACCAUGUACUAAUACUGUCUAGAUUAGAAAAUCUCUACAAAAGGUGUCCUUUUUUUUCUUUUUAGAUAAUUGUUAUGUGUGUGGGCAUGAUUCCAGGUGGCCAAAGAGGCAGGGGACAGCAAAUGCUCUGGACCCAGGUGAUUGUGAGCCACCCAAAAUAGAUUCUGCCAAUCUCUCAAGCCCCCAUGAAAGUUUCCUUUAUCCACCAUUUGUUUUCAAGGGCACCUCAGGCACUCACCUUCAACCCCAGCACAGGGAAGCAGAGGCAGGUGGAUUGCUGAGUUCCACACCAGCCUGAUCUACAUGGCAAGUUUAGGCCAGGCAGGGAGCUAUACAGUACCCUGACUCAAAAAACAAAACAAAACAAAACAAAACAAAACCAACAAGAAGAAGGGCUGUGAGCGAACACGGGUCAUGCCCUGAUUCUAGGUGAAGCACUAGAACCAGCGACGCCCAAGCCCUAAGGCAGCAUCAUGGUUGACCGAAUUCUCUAGGUGGCAAAUGUCACCUCAUCAGACCCACAGCAUGCAGACAGUGUGAGGUGUGCUGGUGGCCAGUCAUUCUACUAGCAUCUCCAUGGGCCGAUGCGGAAAGAAUGCUUCAGGAGGGCAACCCAGAGCACAGUGGGAAUCCUCAGGUGAGUAUCUACAGUCAGACACAGGCCCUGAUGCCACACAGCAGGCCCCAACCUCUCCACCUCCUCUUUCCUGGAGAGCCGAUUCAAAAGUCCAUACAAGAGGGUGUUGCUACAAAGGCACCAUGAGGCUGCUAGACAGGACUCUGGAAGACCUACUUUUCCCUUUUUCUUUUUAUGUCAUAUUUUUUAAUUGGCCUAAGCCUGGAGAGACUCUUCUCUAACACGCUGGGUUUUCUCACUCCUUCUGUGAAGUCCCUAACACUCCACCAUGUGGCUGAACACCACGUUUGCCAUUGCCAAAUAUACUAGCUCAACUCAAACAUGGCUUUCUCUCUUCCUCUUCUCCAUCUUCUUCCUCCUGGCAGUUGUCAAGAUUUAGAGCUUGCCUGUCCAGGGAGUUUUCUUUUAAACACUAAUAAUAUUGUCCAAGCACCUUCAAAUGAUAAAAGAUUUUUUUUCCCCAGAGCUGAGGACCAAACCAAGGGCCUUGCGCUUGCUAGGCAAGCGCUCUCUACUACUGAGCUAAAUCCCCAACCCAGCAGGGUCAAGUACCAUCAACUAGAAUCAAGUUUUCCAUGGCGCAGCUUCAGUGGAGUGAAUUCUGAUAAGGACAUAACUCAGAAUUCAUACCAGGAAAACUACAGUUCAUAAACAGGAUAUAUCAGUUCUUGGGAAGUAAAUUCCCAAACCUGAUCAUUCACCAAGAAUGAAUCAUGCUCCUUCUAGUCCUUUGAAUUGGAUGCUCUCUAGAACCUCAGAGCACACCCUCUUGCUUCGGAUUAACUGAGGCAUCAGGUCUUCUGCCUCUGACUCCGGCUUACUAACGCACCAUCAGUCUGGCUGGGGAGCCUGCCACCUCCCUACGCCCUCAGAGCAAUGGUGGAUGAUGGGUCAGUAGUUCCAAAGCCAAAGCCAGUUACAUCCUCCUCAUCCCAUGGGCCACUAGCCACCCCACUCACCAUUGAUGUUCAGGAAGGGGAAGGUGUCCUGGAUCGGGACGUGGUGCUGUGACUGUUCAAGUUCAUCUUCCUCGUCAUCUUCAUCCACAUCAUUAUCUUUCUCAUCCCAAGGAGCAGACCCUGUGGAUCCUAUCCAGGACACAUGAAGAGCAGUUCAUUUCAGUAACAUCUCAACAACUGACCAACCACCCAGGCUAGAGACACCUCAGUACACACCCACCAGCUUUGGCUAGUUCUAAAUCCUUCUACAGAGUCUGAACACAAGGUCUCUUAUCUCACCUUAGAAAUCCCUUCCAGUUACUAUAACUAUACAGUAGCUUUCUACACAGGAGCAUCCCUUUUAAGAGUUCCAGAAUACUCACUUGUCACUUUCGAGAGCCGCAUAUGAGGGAGGCACAAACCCUCCAUUAUGGCGGGGUCUGACUGAAUGGUAAGGCUAAAUGUCUGGCCCUUCGUAUUCAUUACUCGUUGAGGAUUGGGUGGUGUGUUCUCAGCAGAAACACUCUACAAACUAAACUAUCUUGACCCAACACUUAUAGAGAACAAAAGCUCACACAGGUCAUGUAUCCACUGGUUCUACUAGUAACCUUUGAAAAGGCAGAAUGAUGAGAGUUCACAUCUUGAAACUGAAGAAAUUGUUAUUGGGCUCGAUGUGCCCAAUAACAAUUCAAGUCCAACAGUAGUAGAGUGAUAAAAACCAGGUUUGGAAUGCAAGUCCUCUAGUUGUUACUCCUCCAUCCAGACAGAAGGUGUCCUGCCUGAAAAACUGUACCCUCAUCUACCUUCUGCUUGAAGCACUCCUUUUGUACCCCCUUAUACCAUCUGCUCUCUGAGCUCUUCCUAGGCAAUGGCCUGUUUUCAACCUGUCUCCUUAAGAGACCAACCCUGGGUCUACCCAAGCCUCAGGCCUCACCUGGGUUAAUGACAGAGCCCUGGGGCUGGGGGAUGUCACACACUUGAUAGAUCUUCACAGGAUUCAUGGGCACUUCCUUGGUGCCGUCAUACAUCAAGUUGAAUUCCCGGCUUUUGUUGAGAGCACAUCGGAGCUGAGCCUUCCAUUUAGCUGGGUCAGGAUCGUCCACCCCUUCCUGGUACUUUCCAGUCUCCACAGCCCAAGCCUGAGGAAUGAGACAGUGUGAGUGCUGACCACUGUGGGGAACUACCACCAAGCAUGCACACGCCCCUCUCACAUGUGCACACAUGCACAUACAUGCACACACACUUGCACACACACCUCUGAGUGUUUACUAUCUCAAUGCCAAUUUAAAGAUUAGGGUGGGUAAUAUUGACCUUAGGGCCAACAAAGGCAGGUCAAAGAGAAAUCAAGCUGUAUGCAAACAAAAGUUUGAAAGGAGCCUUAGUCCAGGCUUUAGCAGCAGCACCUGUCCAGACAAUGGCAAAGCUGAAGUCUGGGGCGACACUGUACACAGCAGGCUUUAGGCAACUGUUUUCUCCUCUUCUCCAGUCUUUUCCACCCUUGUUCUUACUCCUUUUUUGUCAUCUUCUGUCCUACAUGUUUUUUUUUGAGGUUUUAGGAUUUGAUUUUUAAUUAUGUCCAGUCCAUCUUGGGUGUUAGGUAUGUUAAUGCGCAUACAUGUGCCCUCUGAUGCCAGAACAGAUCACUGGAUCCCCCAGAUUUGGAGUUACAGGAGGUUGUGAGCUGUGUAUCAUUAAGCGCUAGGAACUGAACUCCGGUAUGCUGCAGAGCAGUAUGGUCUCCUAACCACUGAGCCAUCUCUCCUGCUCCUGUCUCAUUGUGUACCACCCACCCACCCACACACACACAUACACACACUGGAAUCAACUCCAAAUCCUCCUCCUUUAGCUUACCCAGCAAUGAAAAUGAAGUGUGUUACACCUUGCCAGAUUUUCUUUUAAAACAAGAAUAGCUUACAUAACAAUAAGGACAGCAAAAGGAAGUGAGACAACAUAAAGACUCUCAGGGGCCAGAUGUGGUACUGUCUACCUGUAGUUCCAGCACCGAGGAGGCUGAAACAGGAGGACAGUGAGUUUGAAAUUAACCUGGGCUACAUAGAAAGAGAGUCCAGGGCCAACCUGGACUACUACGUCAUGAGGGCUCAGUUCAAUAAAAGACAAGACAAAAAUUCUCCAGGAAGCAUGCUCCGAUGUUCAGUUUGUCCCAACCCCUUCCCCAGGGCGGCAACUUUUAACAAAUUCUCACACAUCUCUCCCCAGUUCUUCAAACUCCCCUAUCGUGGAAACCUCCAGCAGCAGCCUGGGGGCAUGGCCUAAAAACCCAGGUGAAGCCUCCUCUGUUUUCCUAAGUAGGAAGUCAAAGUGCCACUGUAGAUAAGAGGAUCAUCUGCCCAGUGAGAAGAGGAGAACCAAUGUGAGGAACAGACCCAGCCCCUCAGGAGCGUCCAUGGGGGAGGAGCAGACCAAGCACUGCUUCCAGGUUCCCCUCACCGGUUACCAACUCUCCCCGCUGGCCACAUGCCCUCUUCAUGUUCUCUGAUGCAGGUUGAGGAGACCUCAUUAGAGGUCUGUUCCUCAAACAAGAACACGCCGACCCGUUUACAUGUUUAACUUCACCACAUUUUAUUUAGUUAGUAUGUAAGUGGGAAUUCGUUCUCUCCUUUUGGGCCACGUGGAUCCUGGGGAUUGAACUCAGGUGGUGAGGUGCAGUGACACCUGCUGAGCCAUCUCACCAGCCCCACUGGAACCUUCUCGAGCUGUCAGGGCAGAUCACUCAUCUAAACUUUUGCCACAUAGAACCUUUUUCUCUUCUUGAUUUUUCUGAGACAGGCUCUUAAUACAUACCUCAGGCUGGCCUUGAAAAUUCACUGCAAUCCUCCUGCCUUAGCUUUCAGAGUACUAAAACUUUACGCACACACCUCCAUGCCAGGCGCAGGCUUUUCCCUUAAGCCAAAAUUGAACUUUUGUACCCUCUAUUGAGAUCUCUGGUCCCCGCUCAAUCCCACCCUGCAGAGUGGCAGAGUCCAGUGUUAACUAAGUCUUCCAGGCCACAUUCACUUCCUCCAGCCACAUUCUCUGUUUUGGUUUCCUCUGUGUUUUGCAGUGUAGAAUAAAGAAUACCAACCAAGCUGAGCUGCCCAGUGUGGCUUAGCAGGCACCAGGGUGGCUAAGGCUGACUCCAUUCAUAGGGAGGCUCAACUUCACUGCUCCUAAUACCUGAGAUACAAACCCGCUAUUACCUGGUGGACCUGCCUGCUGCCUCCCCUAGCUCCUUGUGUUUUGUCCAAACUUCUGUAUUCACACUGGCUCUGACUCUAUCCAGCUGAGUCCAGCCAGAGGCAGAUUCUGGAAGCACUCUAUACAUUUCUGUGAUUCCCUUAAAUCCUGCUCCUCCAACAGCACAGCUGGACUAACUAAGCCUCACGCUAACACCAGCUUCCUGCUCACACCCAGCCAUCUCCUCAGUCAGUUGAGGUGAUACAAAGAAGGCUAUACUCCUUACAAGCACAGCUUCAGCAUCAGGAAGGGAGGGCCAUGAGGCACCAUAUGGGCCGAUGCUGUGACGUAUAAACUGUACUUGUUCAAACCCCUCUCUGAGCCUGGUCACCAUGAAGGCCCUAUUUCUCUUUCUAAAAUAGCUAUUUCGACAUUUUUAUCGUAUUUUACAUGUAUCUCCCCACACUUCUAUUUCCAUGACAAUUCUAAGAAGCAGACGGGCUGACUUCAUCUCAACUUUACCAAAGGAAAAACUGAAGCCCUAAGAGGUCGCAUGCUUUACUCAAGAUCAACCACCCCACAGGGUUGGUGGGUAUAGAAGUUGAGGUUGAACAGUUAAGGCUCCCACUCAGAAUCAUAAGGGGGCAAACGGAACAGGAUCAGAGACCCAGGUUCAAAUCCUGGAGCUACCAUUGAUUGACAGAGGAAGUUACUCAGCUUCACUGAUGGCUUCUAAAUGUACAAUACAGGGUGGGAGGAAGACUCCCCCUGCAUGAUCAUCAUGAGAUUCAAGUGACACUGGGAACCCAGGAGCCCAUGCUGGUGCCUCCCUCACCUCUGUACCUCACCAAGAGUUCACCAGAGCAUAGGACCUGCCUGCAACAGCAUCCUGUCUUCUACCACUCAAAUGCUCUUCAGGAAACUACAAACAGACAUACCCAUGCGAAACUUUCCUCACACCCUCAUGAGAGGGGCCUACCAUUCCAGCCUCUUCCCGUGACCAAUCAGAGACUUCAAGAGCAAACUCAGACCCAGAGCAAGGAUGUAAGAGAUAGGACCAGGCCUAAGCAGGCUUGUCCAUUGUCAGCUCCACCAGUGAUAAGGCACCCUGGUCUGCAGAUAUUUCUCUUGACACUUUCAUAACAUCCACACAUAAUAUUAAUACAUUAUAAUAUUCAUAAAUUUAGUGCUUCAUUUACAUACUUUAAAAGUCCUCUCGGGCCAGUUUUCUCUCUGCCUCUCUCCUCUACACCAGAAAUAGGUGGGUAAUAGCCUGGCGGGAAAUGGCUUUCCUCAGAGCCCUGGACUUGACUUCCCUGCCUCUUCCUGAUCCUACAGUCAGUCAGGACCAGAUUGCAGCUUGGCCUUCCAGCUUAUAGACAAAGUAAGAAAUGACCAGCAUCUUGGGCUGUAGGAACUAACUACUCCUGAAAUGGAAGGAAGACGUUGGUCUUCAGUGGAGAGGCAGCUCCUGGCAAACUGUAAUCACAAUGAAGUCCUUCUGUAACAACUACCUGCUCACUUCUGUCUGAAGUCAAGCUUUGGUUCCACUUAGAUUCAGUAAAGCGAGAUGUGACUAAAUCUUGUCUUCAGCAGACCACAAUGGGGAUGGGAGAAGAAUUACUUGCUAUUUGUGAAAACGUAAUUAGGGCUUGGGGUGUAGCUUGGUGGUGAUGUGUAUGCUUUGCCUGCACAAAGCCUUGGGCUUGAUUGAUCCUUAGGGGUGAGAAAGAAAAGUUGGGAAAAAGUCAGAAGAAGAGCGGGGACAAGAAAGGGGAGAGGAGAAGGAAGGGGAAAGGCAGAAGAAAGACAUCUAAAGAAUAUAAAACUGUGAGGUGUCUGGAGAGAUGGUUCAGUAGUAAAAACUGUGCACUGCCCUUGAAGGAAAGCUGAGUAACCUGGUUCCCAGCAUGCACAUGUACACACACACACACACACACACACACACACACACACACACACACACACACUCAUCCCAGGUCCACCAGGAUAUAAACUGAGAAUCUUCCUGCAACCAGUGGUAUUGUAAAGACCUCAGCCUCAUAGACACAGCUAGAGAAGAGGAGUCACAAUUCGGGUAUCCCAUUCUGGUAUCCCAAUUCGGGUACACCAGAACACCAGAAUAAAGAAAGCAAACAAAACCAGAAUGGCCUCGGAGAACUGGAACUAAACAAUUCAACUCGGAUGGCAGAAGGAAGUGCUUUACCUUAAAAAUGGUGUUUUCUUCCUCUUGUUGGGGGCUGUGCCGCGUGGCAUGUUUCCAGGGGAUCUGGAAGCGUUUGGAAUCUCUAUGUAGCCAGAUGAGACCAGGGUAGAGGCCACUGUCCACCUGGGCCACCAGCCAGGGCUUCAGCCGGACUCUUCGAGGGUGGAGGGCCAUGCUCUAGAAGUAGGGAGAGCAGAAGAGUGGAGCUAGCCACUGGGAACUUUCCCAGCCACUGUUUCCAAGUGCUGCGGCUACAGUUUCACUAGAUUACAGCAAAGAAAUUAAAUAUGGCAGUAAACUGUGCCAGAGAGAGGAGAAGGAAAGAGGUAAAAGGGUUCUUUUGAUUCUUAUUGAGAAGCCAUUUAUACUUCAUGCUCUGGCCAAAUCAGACUUAUCAUGCAAGCAGAUCACAUUUCUCCUAUUUAAAUCCUUAAGCUGAGGAAGGUGAUGUCAUCCUCGCCUGAACGGAGCCCUCGCCUGAACAUAGCUUCUUCGGGGGGCUCUGCAAGGGAAGGGUGAUUGCUCUUUUCAAUCUUGCCUCAGGAGAGGGAAGGAAAGUUUUGGAAACUUCGGCCCAGAAGCUAAACAAACUAUCUUUCUCAGAAGACAAUGGAGAAAGGGUUACUUGAAAGAAGCAUGUGCGGGGCGGGCCCUAGUUCCAAAGUCCUCACUUGGGUGAGCAGGCAGUCUUUCCACCAGCCCAGACAGCCUUCCCUCUUUUGGCUUCUAGCAAAACGAGUCACUGCUGAUCUCCAGUGCCUGAGGUACAGUUUGAGAAUACUUCCCCAUUGUGAGCCUAGGAAAGCCCUAAGAAGCCCUACAAUAACCAAAUUCUGUUGUCACAGCUAAGCCCCGCACAGCUAAGCUGGCCUCUUCACCUGGGUCUGUUUAUCUCCCCACAGAGGCUGGAGAAAACCAACUGGUUCCAGGCGCCAGGCUGGGUAAAGUCUGCGAUUGAUUCUCCUCGAAACAUGGACGCUGCAGAUAACAUUCUACAGCAGCCAGCACUCACAGCCCAAAACAAAGGCCUGUGGAUCCUAUGCCAGAGGCAAAGUCCCUCGUUAGAACACUGUCUGCCUGGGGUUCCACCCAAAUACAGGGAACUCAACCCAACUCAAUUUCUGGCACUUUAAGAGCAAGGGCAUCAUAUGGAGCCAUUAAACCCAGGGAGUACGUGGACACCCAAUGAGAAGGGACUACAAGCAGGAGAAUGGAGAUCAAGGUCAGACUGGGUUACAUAAGACCCUACCUCGAAAAGAAAUAUCAAAAAGGAAUCUAUACCCCAAUGGUAAGUGCUGCCUUCUCGUUCAGCCCUGUUCUUGCUAGAAGAGGAUAGGGCAAGAACUAGGGAGAGCACUGCAAACCUAUUAGCCUAUCGCUGGACACCUAUUAGCCUAGCGCUGGACACCUAUUAGCUUAGCCCUGGGCACCUAUUAGCCUAGCACUGGGCUAUGAACAGCCCCACUGCAGUCCUGAGAAGUCCUGACUCUGAGUUUGUCAUGCAUGAGAAAUCUACGUCUCAUCAGACAAUGCACCUGAGGGCUUAUUACAGUUGAUUCACAGCCAUCAAGAACAAAAUGAAAGCAGACAUGACAGUGAUCUGCACUAGCAGGGCAGGAGGAAGAGCCACCCCUGGUCACUGGUGACUAAGAUCCUCACUCUGGAUUCUCUAUGUUCUCCCAAGAUGGGGCCACACAUGUGUGGCUCCCCAGCCUGCCUUCUUCUACUUUACUUCCUUCUCUGCAACCCUUUCCGCCUUCUAAAAGUCAGCCAGGAGUUCCCCAAUCUGCCAUCUGAGAUUCUUAAAACAGGGAUGGGCGGGGGAGGGGGGAGGUAAAAACAGCCAAGAUGUCAGAGAGGGAAAAUGGUUUGUUAAACCAAAUCCACAGGCUGCAAACCCCGCAGCUAUGGCUGUACAGCAGUAUCUCCACUCCAUAGCACACAGAGACACGAACCGGGGAAGAUAUCGCAAGACACCGUGACAUACGUAGUGCUUGCCCAGAACUUUGUAGGCCUCUCUAUAUGCUUAAAUAUAGGAACCACAUUUCAUUUCAUUUCAUUUAAUACUGCACCAGCAUUUUCCUAUACCACAGGACGGUGACACUUCUCAGGAUGGAUAGCAGCGCCAUCCUCCACAUCGACACAGGCUCUAGAGUGUCACUUGUGUCAUCCCGCACUCAGGAUCCAAGACACGGUGUCAACCCCAUGUGACAGCUGAGUUGACUGAGGCACAGGGAUAAGGUUAAGGGGCCUCUACCUUACCUCUGGGUUGCAGCAAACCCUGCCUUUGUGCCCUGCACUCUAAGCCUUCCCCAUUCUACACACAAGAUAUCAAGCCUGAACCAACAAGGACCCUGAGAAGGAGCCUCCACAAAGAGAAGGAAGAGCUUAAAGACACCUACUCCUCUCUAAACUUUCAGGCCGCUGAAGCUGUGCCCUGCCAUCUCCAGAUGCCACCACAUGAAAAUGAAAGGAGCGGAUCCUUUCUUGUAAAUACCCUACUACUUCUGCAGUCCUCGUUGGGCUUCUCGGGACCACAGACCUCAAGCUAGUAGGCUGUCUCGGUUUGGGCCAGAUCUCAAAGGCAGCUGUUGGGACUGCCCUAGUUUCCCAUUCUUCCUGAAGGGAACUGAAAUGCCAGCUCUGUGAAUUUUUUUCACCAUGCCUGAGUAAAUGCUGGGCUCCUGGUUUUCUCCUCAAACACGUCCUCCCUGUGGGUUUGGAGUUGGUGGAUGACAAGGCCAAGGUGUAGGCCACUGUGCUGUCAUGUGUGGCACACAGAUCUAACUAGCAAUUUCACCAAUCUCUGUCCAAGCACCCUUGCCCCCCCCUUCCCUAGCUUCCCUCUCGAUACCCACAAGAAAACAGGGAAGGCUGGUGACCACUUUAUCACCGAGGGAAGCACAGCAGCAGCGGCAGCCCAGGUCUCCCUUCCAGGCAGGUAUGGGAGACUUUCUGCUCUCUGCACCGCCUCCAGCCCCUUCAGGCCAGGAGGGCCUCACCCGCAAAGGUGCCACGCCUGGCGCCACCCUCCCCAGCACCUAGCUUGGCUACCUGGAACUCGUCUCCCAGGCCCAGUGUGAGCGGCCUUAACUGUGCUAGGACACUUGGAAAAAGGAAAACAAAUCCGCCCAAACACCAGGUCACCCUUAUCCCCGCUUCCCCUAAACAGCCACUAGGGCCCGGGGCCUCGGGGUCUGGGAAGUCCCCGCUGGGACACAAGAGCCAGCCUCUGAGUAAGCUAGUAAAAACCGGAGGGGCUAGGGAGGAGAGGAUGCCUGCACUCUAUCUGACGGUGGAGCAGGCGGAGCAGAAAACGAGCUCUUUCUGCGGGAGGGGAUCGAAGGGGGUCCGGUGCUGUCCCAAAGCUACUUGGAGAAGGGUGCCCAGCACCCAGCCUAGUGCGGGACACGGAACCCAAGUCAGCUCCCCCGCCCACACAAACUCCAGUGGGUCCGGCCCCACCCGUCAGGUGUCUGUCCUCCCUUAGGUGGCUUGCUGACGCCCGCGUCCCCACCUGGCCUCAGUCGGUGCUCAGGAACAGGUGCACAGGAGUUCUCGCCACCGCAGCACAGGAGCUCUCCCGACGGCUAGGCACGGCUGGGAACCGCGGGCUCCUCUGCGGCCCGCACAGGCCCGCACCUGCCCACCUCGGUGCCCGGUGCUCUGAGCCUAGCCUGGGCUGCCACUGCCCCUGUACCGUGUGGCCACGCCCUCCAGGUGUGGCCACAUCCCCCGGAGUUCAGGAUUGGUGCAUUGCGAGAAAUCUGAUACUCUGCGUUCCUGGGCCGAGGGCCCCGCCCUGCCUGUUCGUCACCCUACGCCCCUGCCACCAAGUGAGGGAGCGGUCCCCGUGUGGGCCUCACCCUGCGGGUGUUCGAUGAUCCUGAGGACUUGCAAGGAGGGUCGGGGGGGGGGGGCAUUAGGAGGUCACCUCGAAAUAGGAGGGCGUCGUCCCUCCCGUAGUGACCCUGCACAGGUGAGGGGUUUUGAGACUGGGACACACAGCUAGAGCCAGGACCUGCGUAGGUGGACUUGGCUUUGAGAAACUACUCCAGGACGUGUCAGUGCACUUUCCAGGACUGCCUGUGGACCCGGGUUCUAUCUUACUUUCUCAUGUAUUCAAAGACGACCGCAAUUUCCGCUUUUCCCUUUCUUACGAAGUGCUACCUGAAAGCACAGACCCUGGAGCCAGUUGUGGAGUUCAAACGACCGAUUUUAUCAAGCACUAGAGACUGGGGAAAGUUUUCUCAGCUCUCUGGGCUUCCGUUUCUUUUCUGUAGAGUGGGAUUUCUACAGCUGCCUGCCUGGUAGAUUAUGUGGUCACUCAAUGUGUGUCUAGAGUACAUAGCACUUUCGGUUAUUAUCGAAGAAUAACCCACAAUGCCUUGCUGAGUAAGAGCAUCUUUCCUGUCACCUGGUCUUUAUGUCCUGUGGACCUUUCAGCUUCCCAAUCCAUAGAUCAACUAUGAGAGCAGUGUCCAGCCAGUGAGGCAAACCCCUCACCGCCAAACGCCGCUGUUACACGGAGAUGGAGCAUGGGUGAGGCACUUAAGAAGACUGGGGAUCUAGCUUCUUUAUAGAGUGUAUCAAGGCCCUGGGUGAGAACCUCCCCAGUGCUGUAAGAAUAACAGUAAUGAAGGCAUCCACCACUCAGGAGACUACGGUGAGAAGACCAAGCCUUCGUAGCCUAACACUGUACAGUGUGAAAUUAGUAUUAGCUGUCAUCCUGACUGGACACGCCUGUGAGGGAUUGUAUCGAUUAAGGUUGGCCUCUGAGAAUGUCUGUGAGGGAUUGUCUUGAUUAAACUUCCCACUGCUGCGGGAAGACCCAUCUUAAUUGUAAGCAGGAUCAUUCACAGAGCAGGGGCUCCUGGACUGUACAAAAUGGAGACGCUAAGCCAAGCUUAGCGUGCAUGCAUCUCUGUUCCCAACUAAGGAAGCUUGAAGCUCCUGGAUCUUGAAAUCCCAGGAGUGGCAGGCCAUAACCACUCCUGAAGUGAACCAGGAAAAUCCUUUCUCCCUUAAGUUUCUUUUUCUCAUUAUUUUAUCACAAUGGGAGGGAAAAACAAGACAGUGAAUUUGAGGCCAGCCUGGGAUCCAGAGUGAGAAUGGGUCUCAAAACAGUGAAGUAAGGAGAUAAGGGAGAAACUGUGGAGUGGGAUGUGAGGGGCUGAGGGUGGGGCCCCAGCUGCAGAGUGCAGCUUUAUUUGGAUGCUUCAGGAUGUGAUGGAGUUAAGAUGAGGUCAUUGUGUUGGCUCUAAUCCAGCAUGACUGCUCUCCUUAUAAACGAAGGAGAGCUGAACACAGGCAGCAUGCACAGAAUGAAUAUGAUUCAGAGAUAAGGGAGAAGACGUCAUUGAAAUUCAAAGGCAGAGACCCGGAAUAGCUUCCUUUCUACAGUCCUCAGCUGAGUGGCACCACGGCACUGCCUUUCUAAAUGCCUGACUGACAGGACAAGAACCAAUCUGCCUAUGGUAUCUAUUCUGGUGAGCGUAGUAAAUUAAUAUAAGCUGGCUGGAGAGCCCCUGGUUGAUGAUAAAUGUAGGUUUGCUCCUAGUCCCAGAUCAGCUUGGGGUGUCACCAGGCAAAGGCUUGGGACGGCAGGGAGGCCCUGACACCUGACUCAGCCAGCCUCUGCUUUAACCACUGCCUGUGGCCACUCUUCCCUCUGCUUAGGGGAGGGGCUGCUUGCUCUCUAGGACUGAUGCUCAGGAAAGCUCAGGUCUUCCCUGAGUAGGAAUGGCCUUUGAAACCAAGCAAAUGCUCUUUCAAGUGUAUGUGCAGGGGAAGACUACCCAAGGCCUGUCACCUGAGAGAAGCCAGGAGCUUAGACAUGACACUCACUCUUGCCCGGGCUGAAACAGGGACUAAGGUGAUGUCUCAGGGCUCUCCUUUAGAAGUGUUAGGGGUUGAGUGUGGCAUUUGCUGGUAAUCCUAGCAUUGUUGAAGUAGGGGUUGGAGAGAGGUGGCUCAGCAGCUAAGGGCACUGACUGCUCUUCCAAAGUUCCCGAGUUCAAUUCCCAGCAACCACAUGGUGGCUCACAACCAUCUGUAGCUCACAACCAUCUGUAAUGGGAUUUGAUGAUCUCUUCUGGUGUGUCUGAAUACAGCUACAGUGUACUCAUAUAAAUAAAAUAAAUAAAUCUAAGGGGAAAAAAAGAAAGAAAGAAAAGUUGAAGGAUUGUGAAUUCAAGGCCAGCCUUGGCUACAUAGUAAGGUUGAGUCCAGCCUGAAAAUCAAGACACAUAUUUUAGAGUGAGGGAGAUUUAAGCUGGAAGAGUAAAUUCUCUAGUCCAGAGGUUGGGGACAUAGCACAAUAGUAAAGUGCUUGUCUAGCAUAUGCAAAACCCUGCGUUCAACCCCCCAACACCACAAAAGUAAAUUCUCUAGUUCAGGGCUAAGACCGGCUUAGAAAUGUUUGUUUGGUCCACACUAUGUCCUAAAGUCUGGAAAGUUUCAUGUAAGCGCUAGAGUUCACAGUAUUGUCUUUAAAUGUCCCACUGAGGACAGACACCUGGCCAGCUAGAAAUGGUGCCCAUGCAGAAGGAAUCUGUGUAUCAUAGUUAGGACAAGAUACCCUACUACAGUGGUUCUCAACCUCCUGAUGCUGUGACCCUUUAAUAGGCUUCCUCAUGUUAUGGAAACCCCCAACCAUUAAAUCAUUUUGUUGCUACUUUAUAGCUGUAAUUUUGCUUUGGGCAUGAGUAAUAAAGUAAAUAUCUGAUAUACAGGACAUCAGCUAUGUGAUUCCAAAGGAGUCUUGGCCCACAGGUUGAGAACUAACGUCCUAUUGGGCUUACUUACUUAAUUACAUAAAAUUGAGUAUUAAACCUCCUCAUAGACAAGGUUUCAGAGAGGUCAAGCAGUUUUCUCAAAGUUGUACAGCCGAGUAGAUCCAGAACUCAGAGGCUUUUUUCUGACGAGUGCUAUACUGAGUACUAAACCACAAAUCACACACUGGGUGGGUGGUGGUGGGGUCACAGUUGUUAAUGCAGUUAAUAGAACAAAACUCCAGUUUUCAUUUCACUUCUUGAAGAAGCAACAGGAAGAAGGAGGCAGGGGCCAACCAGGAAGAAAGCCCUGGCUUCCUUGAGAGAACCAAUAGAGUCUCUUUUGCUUGAGAGAAGCCUCGGCUGUGUGGGCUGGGGAUAGGGUACCUGGUGAACCCCAUAACAUCCUGAAGAAAUGGAUUCUAUGUCCUCCUUAGAGGUUCAGUCCCCUCUGCUGUGGUUGGGCCUGACCUUGCCUGUCGUCUUGCCCCGUGUUGCUGCUCAGGUGCUGACUCACCCAUGAGUCUGAGUUUCAGGCAGUAGUCAACUGCAGCAGUACAUGGGCCCUGACUCACACACAGCACAGAGCUGGGGAGUCCCUCAUCUGUCGUGUCACCUGUCAUUCUGUGGGAAGGAGUCUCCUUUGCUGCUGGAGACGUCAACCUCUAUUAAUAUUGUGCAUGCGACAAUAAAGCAGCGAGACCCAAUCCUCCUGACUUCUUGGCAGAGUGAAGGGUGAGGUAAAACUGGAACCCCAGCCAGAGCUUGUGCCAAGGGAGGUCUGAGCCUUCCUGGAGUCAGUGACAGUAGCUGCUUUCCCAGGAUUCUUCAGUGGAGUGGGCUGCUGAAGAGGGCCAGAUGACACCAAGCUAAGCAAUCCAGCCUCGUGUGCUCAUAACAAAACCCAGACCCUGGCAGCCUUCUAGAAGGCAUUCCACAGCCCGUGGGAUUGCUGCUUUCUUCGCCUUGGUUGCCUCUGCUUCCAUUCAAUCAUUUCAAGGUCUCAGAACUACAAAUGAACCUCAAAGCCUGGCUUAGCGGUGAUGUGCAUGGUUCAUUGCUCAUAUCUCUGCUUCCUCUGCCCUCUGACCCCUGUGCGUGGCAUCCUAGGAUCAUCAAGAUGCCAGAGAGCAGCAGCAAAAACAAAUACACAAACAAGCCUCACUUUCUACCUCAGACCAUGAACAGACUUUGGCUCGGGCUGUGAUCUCCCUCAUGAAGUGCCCAGCUAUUCAUAGCCGACUCUGUCUUUGGAUCAAACACAAUACUGAAAACUGCUGUCAGAGAAGCCCCUUUCUCCUUGGGCAGGAGGAGCAGAGGGAAAAGAAGGCAAGAUGUGUCCUUCAGAACUUAGUAAGCCCACCCUGGGGCUCUCCAUGUGUGCUGUGUCCCUGCCCUGAAAAUCUGAUAUUCCAUUUCUCUCUCACCCUGAUGUGAGGGGUUCCAUCUACAGUAAGAGGAUCAGCCACCAAACAGCAGUGUGCCUGUGAGGCUUUACACUUCUGCAGGGACAGAGCAGUGGCCUGACUUGGGUCAACAAUAAACAACCUACCCUGUUACCAGACACUGGUAGGUAAGAAAGUGUCUUCAAAGUGGCCAAGUGCCGUGAGCUGAGAGCCAACCUCGCCGUUGUCAGCUGUUCUGGUUUUUGCUGUGUGAACCAUACUCACAAGGUCUUUCCCAAAGACAACCCGAGGGGAACUCUCGCCAGCCACCCUGGUACAGCACUGGACUCCGUAUGAGUUGAGUAACUCCACACAGUUCACUGACUUUAGAGAAUGAGGUGUGCACAGAUGCUGACUUUUUCCUGUGGUGAAGCGGAACAAGAAGCUGUACCUCUGUCCAGGCGAGUAGACAGACAAGCUUAUCUUUUUGCAUUGUUCCGAUCUCUCCGGUAUAACAACAAGAGGCACGUAAAUAUUAAUCCAUGAAGUGAGGGCAGGGCACCAAACAUGAGAAGGGAGCAAAGAAGAGAGGAAAAGGCUAUAGUUGUGGUUCAACUGGCAGAAUACUUGCCUAGCGUUCAAGUCUUGGGUCUUAUCUUCCACACUGCUUAACACCAGGUAUGGUGGGCCUUUUUAUGCCUGCAUUCACGACCAUGAUGUGGAAGCAGGAGGAUCUGAAUUUUAAACACAAAGUCAAGGCCAGCCUGGGCUACCUGAGGCCCUGUUUCUUGAAAAAUGAAAAACAAAACAAAACAAAGGGGCUGGGAUAUGCAUCACUGCAUAAAUCGUUUGCCCUACAAGCUUGAAGGACUGAAUUCAAACCCCCAGAAUCCAUGUAAUGCCCAACAAGGAAGUGUUCCGAAGGCAGCGGGAGACAGAGGGCUCUCUGGAAACUUGUGGGCUUGCAUAUGCAAUAGUAGACAUCAAAAAGACCCUGCCUCAAAUACAGUGGAAGGCAAGGACUGACGCAGAAAUUGUUCUCUGAGCUCCACCUACACACUGUGACACAUACAUGCUCAUACUUAUUCAUAUGAAUAUACACAGAGAGAGAGAGACAGAGACAGAGAGACAGAGACAGCGACAAAGAGAAUGCAGAAUGAAAUCAACAGAAUAUUAGAAGACAAAAUAUUACUUCAGCACAAACAGGG